This 300-nucleotide ribosomal RNA is filed under the name uncultured Alteromonadales bacterium. Its description in RNAcentral is "bacterial SSU rRNA". It matches the Rfam family "Bacterial small subunit ribosomal RNA", at positions 114 to 418 of the family's 1533-position model. The record is from RNAcentral. Lineage: Bacteria; Pseudomonadati; Pseudomonadota; Gammaproteobacteria; Alteromonadales.
CGCGUAGGAAUCUACCUGGUAGUGGGGAUAACAUGGAGAAAUCCAUGCUAAUACCGCAUACGUCCUGAGGGAGAAAGUGGGGGACCUUUUGGCCUCACGCUAUCAGAUGAGCCUGCGUAGGAUUAGCCAGUUGGUGGGGUAAAGGCCUACCAAGGCGACGAUCCUUAGCUGGUCUGAGAGGAUGAUCAGCCACACUGGAACUGAGACACGGUCCAGACUCCUACGGGAGGCAGCAGUGGGGAAUAUUGCACAAUGGGCGCAAGCCUGAUGCAGCCAUGCCGCGUGUGUGAAGAAGGCUCU